GAUGUGCAUUCCAGUUCUUUUCAGUGAACUGAGUCUUUAGAAUCAGUUUACUCAAAAGAUUCGUUCAAACGAAUCGUUCGACGAAGUCCGCGUUUUGGUCGAAAGAUGCCAGCAUGCGGUCAACCAAAAGCUCCACCUGUAAAAGCGUCAUCAACGUCAAGUUCAGCAAAAGAGCAUCCUCAACCACCGGAUGGUGAUUGGAAAGAUUUUCCUCCAUGUGGCAUUCCGAGACAUCUCAAAAUGUUGAGUUUGAAAUAACAGCAAAAUGUAGUCUAUUGGGAAAUGUGAUUUAUUCAAUAAACAAGCUUGUAAAUUUCAAA
Molecule: long non-coding RNA, 320 nt
Organism: Syngnathus acus (greater pipefish)
Lineage: Eukaryota; Metazoa; Chordata; Actinopteri; Syngnathiformes; Syngnathidae
Exons: 2
Source: RefSeq, a predicted model, not a curated record